UACGUAGGGUGCGAGCGUUGUCCGGAAUUAUUGGGCGUAAAGGGCUCGUAGGCGGUCUGUUGCGUCGGGAGUGAAAACUCAGGGCUUAACCCUGAGCCUGCUUCCGAUACGGGCAGACUAGAGGUAUGCAGGGGAGAACGGAAUUCCUGGUGUAGCGGUGAAAUGCGCAGAUAUCAGGAGGAACACCGGUGGCGAAGGCGGUUCUCUGGGCAUUACCUGACGCUGAGGAGCGAAAGUGUGGGGAGCAAACAGG
RNAcentral lists this ribosomal RNA (253 nucleotides) under uncultured bacterium. Its description in RNAcentral is "partial 16S ribosomal RNA". It matches the Rfam family "Bacterial small subunit ribosomal RNA", at positions 524 to 776 of the family's 1533-position model. The record is from RNAcentral.